RNAcentral lists this ribosomal RNA (485 nucleotides) under uncultured bacterium. RNAcentral's name for it is "partial 16S ribosomal RNA". It matches the Rfam family "Bacterial small subunit ribosomal RNA", at positions 29 to 523 of the family's 1533-position model. The record is from RNAcentral.
AGUGAACGCUGGCGGCGUGCUUAACACAUGCAAGUCGAACGAGAACGGAAUAUAGCUUGCUAUAUUUGCCAGCUAAGUGGCGCACGGGUGAGUAAUGUAUAGAUAACCUGCCCUUAAGAAAGGAAUAACAGUUGGAAACGACUGCUAAUGCCCUAUAUGCCUUUAAUACAUAAGUAUGCAAGGGAAACGCUUUAGUGCUUAAGGAUGGGUCUGUAUGGUAUCAGCUUGUUGGUGAGGUAAUGGCUCACCAAGGCUAUGACGCCUAACUGGUUUGAGAGGAUGAUCAGUCACACUGGAACUGAGACACGGUCCAGACUCCUACGGGAGGCAGAAGUGGGGAAUAUUGCACAAUGGACGAAAGUCUGAUGCAGCAACGCCGCGUGGAGGAUGACACAUUUCGGUGCGUAAACUCCUUUUAUAUAGGAAGAUAAUGACGGUACUAUAUGAAUAAGCACCGGCUAACUCCGUGCCAGCAGCCGCGGUAA